AGUUUGGAAAUCGGGUUUACUAUCUCUACUUUUAGAUGCGAGUAUCCUUACUAUCAUCACCUGUGUUUUUGGCUAAUGAGAUCCAUUUCAUUUUCCAUCUCCAAGACCUUGACAUUUUGCAGUCAGAGUAUUCCUUCUGAAGAGACAUAAUGAUGAUUAUGGGAACUCUUUCCUGUCAAUGCCAAAGUGCAGAGAGGUGGUGAUAAUUAGUGGGAGCUUUGGAUUGAUCUUAUUUAACUAAUUUCUCAUAUUUUGCUCAACCUGUCUUUGUUACAGGUAUUUCUGGACGCUUUGUUGGGAAAUAUUGUGUUUAUUUUUGUUCUGCUUCUUGGGCAAGGUUUUUCGUCAAUUGUUCCCUUCCUGUAACUAGGUACUUGAAGAUCUUGCUUGCUGUAUUUGUCUCAAGCUUCUUUAAGGUCUGGGAGUUUCCAUCUGCUGUUCUUUACAUCAUCGAAAUGUUCAUUCUAUCAUCAAAUGCGGUUGCUUUCCGAGUUUCGACACAGCAGGAGGCCAUUCGGUGCAUCGGUAUUUGCUUGAGCGCACAUGCGGCCAAAUUCCUCAUUGAUUAUUGGUUGCUAUCUCUAUUACCUUCUUUUUCUCGGUGAUCUUGUUUACUGGU
Dioscorea cayenensis subsp. rotundata (Guinea yam) is the source of this 619-nucleotide long non-coding RNA. RefSeq lists it as uncharacterized. Lineage: Eukaryota; Viridiplantae; Streptophyta; Magnoliopsida; Dioscoreales; Dioscoreaceae. The record is from RefSeq and is a predicted model, not a curated record. The transcript has 4 exons.